This 317-nucleotide ribosomal RNA is filed under the name uncultured eukaryote. RNAcentral's name for it is "partial 18S ribosomal RNA". It matches the Rfam family "Eukaryotic small subunit ribosomal RNA", at positions 1470 to 1796 of the family's 1831-position model. The record is from RNAcentral.
CCCUUAGAUGUUCUGGGCUGCACGCGCGCUACACUGACACACUCAGCGAGUCUCCUGGCCCGAGAGGGUUAGGUAAUCAUGUGAGCGUGUGUCGUGAUGGGGAUAGAAUAUUGUAAUUAUUGCUCUUCAACGAGGAAUUCCUAGUACGCGCGAGUCAGCAGCUCGCGCUGAUUACGUCCCUGCCCUUUGUACACACCGCCCGUCGCUUCUACCGAUGGGGUGAUCCGGUGAAUGAUUCGGACUUCCGCAGUGCUAGCUACUAGCUUUGUGGAAAGUCUUGUGAACCUUAUCACUUGGAGGAAGGAGAAGUCGUANCA